Molecule: long non-coding RNA, 3839 nt
Organism: Numida meleagris (helmeted guineafowl)
Lineage: Eukaryota; Metazoa; Chordata; Aves; Galliformes; Numididae
Exons: 3
Source: RefSeq, a predicted model, not a curated record
AUCUAUCACUUUCACAGCACUUUCUGAAGUUAAAUCAGUAUCAGCCUCUCUGUUUUGCACCCAGGGUAAAAAUGUGGAAGUGAAUACAGCCAGCCAAGAUUACUUCUUGGAUCAGAUUCCAAGUGUCCAGGAAUUCCAGGCUGAAGUUCUUUCCAUUAGAUCCUGCUGUCACCUAAUACAAACUGCUGCUGAUAGCAGGUUGCAGAUUUGAGACAAAAGCAGUGAAGUGGUUCUUCAGUUUGCCUGGGUUCCUGGAACUGACAGGCAUCAGCACCAGAGAUGGCAUGCUAGGCUGGAGAUAAUAUUUUUAUCUAGCCUCACUGGCACGUUAACCUGGAGAGAAAGAGGUCAUCUUCUAACUCAGGACCAUGCCUGCAUGACUUGGAGCCUGCAUCUCAUUGUCUGAUGGGAGAAGCACCAUAUCCAGGGCAAGGUCUUUCUUUUGCAGGCAGACCUCUGUGUCUGCAUGGUGGCUCACUGACUUAUCCACUGGUACAAGGAUCCUCCAGAGUGGGUCUAUGGACUUAGAUCCUAAGCAGGAAGCAAUAGAUUGUGCUAUGCAUUCAUUUCAAUUUCUUUACUCCGUGGGAAUUAUUGUAUCUGCGAGCCAAAACAACAGUACUCCCUGAUGCCAACUCCAGCUGUUCCUCCCUUGUAAAAUUUAUGAGCUGUUUUCAAGAGCCUGAAUAGAUCUUGUGAUGGAACUUCAGUAUAGUCACAAAGAUAUUUUUAAUUGCUGCGACGUUGUCAGGUUUCCUUGCAACACAAAGCGUGCUGUUAGUUGGCUGAUUAGACAGUGUGCUCCUGGAGAUGCCAGCCUGCCGGGUCACUGAGCUAAAGGAAGAAGUCCAGCCAGACUUCAGAUUUACUCCAAAUCCUUGCUGGGAACACCAACAAAUGGGCUGAUAAAGGCAGGCUGAAGUAGUUCUAAACAAAUGAGUGCACUAGUGGGAGAGUUUGGUAUCUUUCCACUGGGCUCUUCACAGAGGUCCAAGUGGCAUUGCACACUGUAGGCAACUGCAUGUCAGUACUCAUGCUUUGUGAGGGUUUGUGACUGAGCCUGUGGUAGAUAGAGGAGCCUGGCAUCAGUCCAAAACAUCUCACUUUUCUUUCUUUAGGUUCUGAUGUAAAAAUGACGUCGUGAACACAAUUUGUCAUUAGAAGUCCUCUAGCAGGUGUCAUGGAAAUAAGAAUUUUAUCUCACCUGAUCAACAUUCAGAUUUCAUAAUUACAAUUUUAUUUUAUGUCUCUGAUUCCCCUAAGGAAAAACCCAAUAAUUUAUAAAAUCCUAGAAAAGACCAUGGCUUCUGCAUGAGCAGACCAUGCAGCAGCAUCACUUUAGGAGUGGGUAGUCCAGCGAACCUGAAGCCAAGGUUAAUGUCACUGUGUUCAGCUAGCUGGAGGCUUUUAGCUCAAGUGCUCCACCCUCUGUACGUGCUCCCAGACACCAGGAAUGGAUAAAGAAGCACAAAGAGGUGACAUGGAUUAUGCGGCCACAAACCAGCAAGGCCUGUGCCAUUUCUGAGCUUGUGGCUUUAUAACAUUUUGUGCCACAGAGGUGUCAAACCUCUAAAGAUCUCAAGACCUAUAAGACAAUAGCCUUAAAAUGUCUGCCAAGGACAUAAAAUAAGGCACAUAAAAAGUUAAAGAGGAAAUGGGAAAAGCAGUGGGAUUAUUAAUUGCUACUAUUUAAGCAAAGCUGUCUGUAGUAUUAGGACCCUUUGUGGCUUGACAUUUGUAGUCUCAGUAAAUUAGAGUAAUAAAAGAAAUAGACCUCUCUGGACAGAGGUAAAAUUAGGUGUAAUACCAUGGGUUACUAGUUAGUUCAUGAUCCUUCAGCCUAUUGAAGAUAAAGAUCCCUAAGGCCUGUGCUGCCAUCCCUAGUUUGGCUUGUGCAGAAGAGAUUGGGACACAUCCCCACCGGGGGGCACAAACUGGCCUAGCUGGCCUGCAAAGAAAGUGGUGCUGGUAGCAACAAAGUCAAAGGACUGAUGUGGAAAAUCGUGACUUCAUCCUCUCUGCCCCUUGGAGAUUAUUUGCAUCCAUAGGAGUGCAAGGAGCAAUCAACCCUUCUCUCUUGUCUGUCGAACCAUAGAGCGUCUAAUCCAAAUCUCUGUUAAUAUUUCAUUUGAGUUCAGUAGACUUUGGAGCCAGCCCCAGGCUCAGACUUAGCAUGUCUUUUCGGAAGCUCAGUAUCUGAUUAUUAUUAAGAUGUGAGAGGCUCCUGUGAAGCAGAAGCCUGAGCAUUCCUGUUGAAUUGAGACUUGAAGCACUGAAUGUGAGAAAAAGUUGAUCUGCUGAGCUGAAUCUUCCCCCAUGCUCAUGAAACUCAGUACUGCUCCAGGAACACAGGGAAGAUAUGGAAAUAGUGCAUUCAGGUGACUAGAGAUAUUUUAGCAUGAUACCAUGUAGCCUGCAGUUCCUAUUGUGAGCAGCUUUUAGGAACUUAAUGCUCUCUGGGACCUUGGCUAAGAAUAAGCUUAGGUGCUGUGUAUAUCCACAAGGGACUUUGCGCUUGCUCUGAACUGUGGUGGUGGUAGAGUGUCUCCCCUGCUCUGCCUUGGUAUAUAAGCAACAGAAGAAAUAAGAGACUUAAUGGCAGCAGACACUCAGUGAUCAAAGCUGGUUUUGAGUACCUUACCUUAUAUCUUAUAUACCUUAUAUAUAUCUUAUAUACCUUACAUCUAUCUUAUAAACCUUAUAUCUUGACUUGGCCAGAGAGUUUUCAAAAGAGUUAGGAAGUAAAUAAGAAGACUCCUAAGCCACCUUCUUUUUUGUUUAUUUAUUUUUUAAUAGGCUUCAUUGAUACGACUUGAUGUAAUUGAUAAAGGGGAUUGUAACUUUGACCAUCACACUAGUGCAGUCUAUCCAUAGCUGCUUGGUCUUUUUACUACAGUUUUGAGUUUGCUCAAAGAUAUUGUGAGUAGUUUUGGAGCCUGUAAUGCGUGAUGGCAUGUGGACUGAAUGUAACAUGGCUCCUUCCCGAACAAGGAAAUAACUGCAUAGCAGUCGCCAGAAAGAAUGACACCUUCCCUAAUGUAAACUGGUAGAAUCAGCAUCCUCCAAAAUGACUGAGAGAGAUGCAUAAAGAGCUCACCUCAGCCUAAUGAAGUCUCAUUAGUGGGAUGCCAAAAAGGAACCUUCAUGCCAUGGCUAUUUUAACCACAGGAGGACCACAAAUCCUGUACGUGCUCAGGCAAAGAGGCAGAGGUCUGUCAUUAGCAGUCUCUGAGUUACACAGGUAGAUGGCAAAGCAACGAGUAGAGAGCCGUAGCCGUCUGUCCGAUAAAAGAAAGAUUAACAAAGAGUCUGUCAGUAGGAGCCUGCUAGUGAGAGAUCCCCAUAAUGGCAGAGCAAGUGAAUAGCAUGUGUUUAAAGAGCCCAUAAUCCUAUAUUUACACAACAGUCCUUAAUGGCUCAUUCAGAGCCAUUGCAAAGAACCAAGUAAAUAGUGUUGUUAGAAAGUCUGUUACUUUAUAUUUACUCACUAGACCGUCUGCUGUGGGAGCUGUGAAUGUUGUGGAGAGCUAAAAGGAACAUUCUUUUUAUUUUUAUUUUUUUAUUUUUUGGCUAUGAAAAGCUAGCUAAUAAUGAUACUGAAAACCACUUUCAAUAGGAACUAUACCUUCACUUUGCACCAGUGAAGGAGAACAACCAUUAGCACACUUUGUCAAGGAAAGGGAUGCAUUUAUCAUCACCUGGAGUCUUUUCAUAGAGACUGGAUGUGCUCUAAAAGAUACACUCUUAUUCAGCAAGACGUUAUUGAACUCAAUAGCACUCACCUGUGUGGAAGGGAAAACUCAUUCUCUUCACUGCAAGAACUAAGAGGGUAUAAAAUG